GGUUAAGCGACUAAGCGUACACGGUGGAUGCCCUGGCAGUCAGAGGCGAUGAAGGACGUGCUAAUCUGCGAUAAGCGUCGGUAAGGUGAUAUGAACCGUUAUAACCGGCGAUUUCCGAAUGGGGAAACCCAGUGUGAUUCGUCACACUAUCAUUAACUGAAUCCAUAGGUUAAUGAGGCGAACCGGGGGAACUGAAACAUCUAAGUACCCCGAGGAAAAGAAAUCAACCGAGAUUCCCCCAGUAGCGGCGAGCGAACGGGGAGGAGCCCAGAGCCUGAAUCAGUGUGUGUGUUAGUGGAAGCGUCUGGAAAGGCGCGCGAUACAGGGUGACAGCCCCGUACACAAAAAUGCACAUGCUGUGAGCUCGAUGAGUAGGGCGGGACACGUGGUAUCCUGUCUGAAUAUGGGGGGACCAUCCUCCAAGGCUAAAUACUCCUGACUGACCGAUAGUGAACCAGUACCGUGAGGGAAAGGCGAAAAGAACCCCGGCGAGGGGAGUGAAAAAGAACCUGAAACCGUGUACGUACAAGCAGUGGGAGCCUCUUUAUGGGGUGACUGCGUACCUUUUGUAUAAUGGGUCAGCGACUUAUAUUCUGUAGCAAGGUUAACCGAAUAGGGGAGCCGAAGGGAAACCGAGUCUUAACUGGGCGUUAAGUUGCAGGGUAUAGACCCGAAACCCGGUGAUCUAGCCAUGGGCAGGUUGAAGGUUGGGUAACACUAACUGGAGGACCGAACCGACUAAUGUUGAAAAAUUAGCGGAUGACUUGUGGCUGGGGGUGAAAGGCCAAUCAAACCGGGAGAUAGCUGGUUCUCCCCGAAAGCUAUUUAGGUAGCGCCUCGUGAAUUCAUCUCCGGGGGUAGAGCACUGUUUCGGCAAGGGGGUCAUCCCGACUUACCAACCCGAUGCAAACUGCGAAUACCGGAGAAUGUUAUCACGGGAGACACACGGCGGGUGCUAACGUCCGUCGUGAAGAGGGAAACAACCCAGACCGCCAGCUAAGGUCCCAAAGUCAUGGUUAAGUGGGAAACGAUGUGGGAAGGCCCAGACAGCCAGGAUGUUGGCUUAGAAGCAGCCAUCAUUUAAAGAAAGCGUAAUAGCUCACUGGUCGAGUCGGCCUGCGCGGAAGAUGUAACGGGGCUAAACCAUGCACCGAAGCUGCGGCAGCGACACUAUGUGUUGUUGGGUAGGGGAGCGUUCUGUAAGCCUGCGAAGGUGUACUGUGAGGUAUGCUGGAGGUAUCAGAAGUGCGAAUGCUGACAUAAGUAACGAUAAAGCGGGUGAAAAGCCCGCUCGCCGGAAGACCAAGGGUUCCUGUCCAACGUUAAUCGGGGCAGGGUGAGUCGACCCCUAAGGCGAGGCCGAAAGGCGUAGUCGAUGGGAAACAGGUUAAUAUUCCUGUACUUGGUGUUACUGCGAAGGGGGGACGGAGAAGGCUAUGUUGGCCGGGCGACGGUUGUCCCGGUUUAAGCGUGUAGGCUGGUUUUCCAGGCAAAUCCGGAAAAUCAAGGCUGAGGCGUGAUGACGAGGCACUACGGUGCUGAAGCAACAAAUGCCCUGCUUCCAGGAAAAGCCUCUAAGCAUCAGGUAACAUCAAAUCGUACCCCAAACCGACACAGGUGGUCAGGUAGAGAAUACCAAGGCGCUUGAGAGAACUCGGGUGAAGGAACUAGGCAAAAUGGUGCCGUAACUUCGGGAGAAGGCACGCUGAUACGUAGGUGAAGUCCCUCGCGGAUGGAGCUGAAAUCAGUCGAAGAUACCAGCUGGCUGCAACUGUUUAUUAAAAACACAGCACUGUGCAAACACGAAAGUGGACGUAUACGGUGUGACGCCUGCCCGGUGCCGGAAGGUUAAUUGAUGGGGUUAGCGGUAACGCGAAGCUCUUGAUCGAAGCCCCGGUAAACGGCGGCCGUAACUAUAACGGUCCUAAGGUAGCGAAAUUCCUUGUCGGGUAAGUUCCGACCUGCACGAAUGGCGUAAUGAUGGCCAGGCUGUCUCCACCCGAGACUCAGUGAAAUUGAACUCGCUGUGAAGAUGCAGUGUACCCGCGGCAAGACGGAAAGACCCCGUGAACCUUUACUAUAGCUUGACACUGAACAUUGAGCCUUGAUGUGUAGGAUAGGUGGGAGGCUUUGAAGUGUGGACGCCAGUCUGCAUGGAGCCGACCUUGAAAUACCACCCUUUAAUGUUUGAUGUUCUAACGUUGGCCCCUGAUCGGGGUUGCGGACAGUGUCUGGUGGGUAGUUUGACUGGGGCGGUCUCCUCCUAAAGAGUAACGGAGGAGCACGAAGGUUGGCUAAUCCUGGUCGGACAUCAGGAGGUUAGUGCAAUGGCAUAAGCCAGCUUGACUGCGAGCGUGACGGCGCGAGCAGGUGCGAAAGCAGGUCAUAGUGAUCCGGUGGUUCUGAAUGGAAGGGCCAUCGCUCAACGGAUAAAAGGUACUCCGGGGAUAACAGGCUGAUACCGCCCAAGAGUUCAUAUCGACGGCGGUGUUUGGCACCUCGAUGUCGGCUCAUCACAUCCUGGGGCUGAAGUAGGUCCCAAGGGUAUGGCUGUUCGCCAUUUAAAGUGGUACGCGAGCUGGGUUUAGAACGUCGUGAGACAGUUCGGUCCCUAUCUGCCGUGGGCGCUGGAGAACUGAGGGGGGCUGCUCCUAGUACGAGAGGACCGGAGUGGACGCAUCACUGGUGUUCGGGUUGUCAUGCCAAUGGCACUGCCCGGUAGCUAAAUGCGGAAGAGAUAAGUGCUGAAAGCAUCUAAGCACGAAACUUGCCCCGAGAUGAGUUCUCCCUGACUCCUUGAGAGUCCUGAAGGAACGUUGAAGACGACGACGUUGAUAGGCCGGGUGUGUAAGCGCAGCGAUGCGUUGAGCUAACCGGUACUAAUGAACCGUGAGGCUUAACCUU
RNAcentral lists this ribosomal RNA (2904 nucleotides) under Escherichia coli. RNAcentral describes it as "23S ribosomal RNA". It matches the Rfam family "Bacterial large subunit ribosomal RNA". Lineage: Bacteria; Pseudomonadati; Pseudomonadota; Gammaproteobacteria; Enterobacterales; Enterobacteriaceae. The record is from RNAcentral.